RNAcentral lists this ribosomal RNA (464 nucleotides) under uncultured bacterium. Its description in RNAcentral is "partial 16S ribosomal RNA". It matches the Rfam family "Bacterial small subunit ribosomal RNA", at positions 339 to 795 of the family's 1533-position model. The record is from RNAcentral.
CUACGGGUUGCACCAGUGGGGAAUUUUGCACAAUGGGGGAAACCCUGAUGCAGCGACGCCGCGUGCGGGAAGAAGGCCUUAGGGUUGUAAACCGCUUUCAAUUGUGAAGAAGGGAUGAGAGUUAAUAGCUUUCUGACUUGACGGUAGCAUUAGAAGAAGCACCGGCUAAUUUCGUGCCAGCAGCCGCGGUAAUACGAAAGGUGCAAGCGUUGUUCGGAUUUACUGGGCGUAAAGAGAUCGUAGGUGGUUUAUUAAGUCGGAUGUGAAAUCCCGGAGCUCAACUUCGGAACUGCAUUCGAUACUGGUAGGCUAGAGUUCGGGAGGGGAAAGCGGAAUUCCGUGUGUAGCAGUGAAAUGCGUAGAUAUACGGAGGAACACCUGAGGCGAAGGCGGCUUUCUGGAUCGAUACUGACACUGAGGAUCGAAAGCGUGGGUAGCAAACAGGAUUAGAUACCCGAGUAGUC